AAAUUGAAGAGUUUGAUCAUGGCUCAGAUUGAACGCUGGCGGCAGGCCUAACACAUGCAAGUCGAACGGUAACAGGAAGAAGCUUGCUUCUUUGCUGACGAGUGGCGGACGGGUGAGUAAUGUCUGGGAAACUGCCUGAUGGGGGGGGAUAACUACUGGAAACGGUAGCUAAUACCGCAUAACGUCGCAAGACCAAAGAGGGGGACCUUCGGGCCUCUUGCCAUCGGAUGUGCCCAGAUGGGAUUAGCUUGUUGGUGGGGUAACGGCUCACCAAGGCGACGAUCCCUAGCUGGUCUGAGAGGAUGACCAGCCACACUGGAACUGAGACACGGUCCAGACUCCUACGGGAGGCAGCAGUGGGGAAUAUUGCACAAUGGGCGCAAGCCUGAUGCAGCCAUGCCGCGUGUAUGAAGAAGGCCUUCGGGUUGUAAAGUACUUUCAGCGGGGAGGAAGGGAGUAAAGUUAAUACCUUUGCUCAUUGACGUUACCCGCAGAAGAAGCACCGGCUAACUCCGUGCCAGCAGCCGCGGUAAUACGGAGGGUGCAAGCGUUAAUCGGAAUUACUGGGCGUAAAGCGCACGCAGGCGGUUUGUUAAGUCAGAUGUGAAAUCCCCGGGCUCAACCUGGGAACUGCAUCUGAUACUGGCAAGCUUGAGUCUCGUAGAGGGGGGUAGAAUUCCAGGUGUAGCGGUGAAAUGCGUAGAGAUCUGGAGGAAUACCGGUGGCGAAGGCGGCCCCCUGGACGAAGACUGACGCUCAGGUGCGAAAGCGUGGGGAGCAAACAGGAUUAGAUACCCUGGUAGUCCACGCCGUAAACGAUGUCGACUUGGAGGUUGUGCCCUUGAGGCGUGGCUUCCGGAGCUAACGCGUUAAGUCGACCGCCUGGGGAGUACGGCCGCAAGGUUAAAACUCAAAUGAAUUGACGGGGGCCCGCACAAGCGGUGGAGCAUGUGGUUUAAUUCGAUGCAACGCGAAGAACCUUACCUGGUCUUGACAUCCACGGAAGUUUUCAGAGAUGAGAAUGUGCCUUCGGGAACCGUGAGACAGGUGCUGCAUGGCUGUCGUCAGCUCGUGUUGUGAAAUGUUGGGUUAAGUCCCGCAACGAGCGCAACCCUUAUCCUUUGUUGCCAGCGGUCCGGCCGGGAACUCAAAGGAGACUGCCAGUGAUAAACUGGAGGAAGGUGGGGAUGACGUCAAGUCAUCAUGGCCCUUACGACCAGGGCUACACACGUGCUACAAUGGCGCAUACAAAGAGAAGCGACCUCGCGAGAGCAAGCGGACCUCAUAAAGUGCGUCGUAGUCCGGAUUGGAGUCUGCAACUCGACUCCAUGAAGUCGGAAUCGCUAGUAAUCGUGGAUCAGAAUGCCACGGUGAAUACGUUCCCGGGCCUUGUACACACCGCCCGUCACACCAUGGGAGUGGGUUGCAAAAGAAGUAGGUAGCUUAACCUUCGGGAGGGCGCUUACCACUUUGUGAUUCAUGACUGGGGUGAAGUCGUAACAAGGUAACCGUAGGGGAACCUGCGGUUGGAUCACCUCCUUACCUUAAAGAAGC
This 1554-nucleotide ribosomal RNA is filed under the name Escherichia coli. RNAcentral describes it as "bacterial SSU rRNA". It matches the Rfam family "Bacterial small subunit ribosomal RNA". Lineage: Bacteria; Pseudomonadati; Pseudomonadota; Gammaproteobacteria; Enterobacterales; Enterobacteriaceae. The record is from RNAcentral.